CGCGUAGGCGGACUUUCAAGUCGGAUGUGAAAUCUCCAGGCUUAACUUGGAGCUUGCAUCCGAUACUGUUGGUCUUGAGUAUAUCAGAGGAAAGCGGAAUUCCAGGUGUAGCGGUGAAAUGCGUAGAUAUCUGGAAGAACACCAGUAGCGAAGGCGGCUUUCUGGGUAUAACUGACGCUGAAGCGCGAAGGCUAGGGGAGCAAACA
This 206-nucleotide ribosomal RNA is filed under the name uncultured bacterium. Its description in RNAcentral is "partial 16S ribosomal RNA". It matches the Rfam family "Bacterial small subunit ribosomal RNA", at positions 568 to 774 of the family's 1533-position model. The record is from RNAcentral.